UACGUAGGUGGCGAGCGUUGUCCGGAAUUACUGGGUGUAAAGCGCGUGUAGGCGGGAGGCCAAGUCUGUGGUGAAAUCGCUCGGCUUAACUGGGCGGGGUCCAUGGAAACUGGUCACCUGGAGGUCGGUAGAGGCAAGUGGAAUUCCCGGUGUAGUGGUGAAAUGCGUAGAUAUCUGGAGGAACACCGGUGGCGAAGGCGGCAUCCUGGACCAACACUGACACUGAGGAGCGAAAGCCAGGGGAGCAAACGGG
Molecule: ribosomal RNA, 253 nt
Filed under: uncultured bacterium
Lineage: Bacteria
Description: partial 16S ribosomal RNA
Rfam family: Bacterial small subunit ribosomal RNA
Source: RNAcentral